AAACGCUAAACGGAACGAAUAUCUCUGAAUGCCCUUAUUACGCGUGCUAAGUUAUGAAAUCAAAGAUACCACAGGGAUAGCUGGCUUGUGGCAGCCAAGCGUCCAUAGCGACGUUGGUUUUUGAUCCUUCGAUGUCGGCUCUUCCUAUCAUUGCGAAGCAGAAUUCGCCAAGCGUUGGAUUGUUCACCCACUAAUAGGGAACGUGGGCUAGGUUUAGACCGUCGUGGGACAGGUUAAUUUUACCCUACUGUUGACUGAUUGUUGCGAUAGUAAUCCUGCUUGGUACGAGAGGAACAGCAGGUUCAAACAUUUGGUUCAUGGACUUGACCGAUUGAUGAAUGAACUACCCGAAGCUGAAGAAGGAAACGCGCGUCGAGCUGAGUCGGGAAAGCAUCUAAGAAUAUCGAGGGAAUAGUGAACAAGACAAUGAACAUUUAUUACCAUGCUCACUCGUUCGAUACUGCAGUCGUAGGCGCAUUGACAUGGGGCCCAGAAAUUUAGAGUCUAUGGAAGCGGACUGAACAUGCAUUAUGUGCCACUCAGCACGUAGUGAAAAGUACGGUGCUCGGAACGUCGCGACACAUUCACGUUUUGAGGGAGAAUCUGGGUUUCGAGCUUUGU
This is a non-coding RNA of Haemonchus contortus (barber pole worm), 621 nucleotides long. The record is from Rfam. NCBI's taxonomy places the organism in Eukaryota, Metazoa, Nematoda, Chromadorea, Rhabditida, Trichostrongylidae.